Molecule: ribosomal RNA, 647 nt
Filed under: uncultured Lachnospiraceae bacterium
Lineage: Bacteria; Bacillati; Bacillota; Clostridia; Lachnospirales; Lachnospiraceae
Description: bacterial SSU rRNA
Rfam family: Bacterial small subunit ribosomal RNA
Source: RNAcentral
GAGAGGAAGCUUGCUUCCUCAAUCGAGUGGCGAACGGGUGAGUAACGCGUGAGGAACCUGCCUCAAAGAGGGGGACAACAGUUGGAAACGACUGCUAAUACCGCAUAAGCCCACAGCUCGGCAUCGAGCAGAGGGAAAAGGAGCAAUCCGCUUUGAGAUGGCCUCGCGUCCGAUUAGCUAGUUGGUGAGGUAACGGCCCACCAAGGCGACGAUCGGUAGCCGGACUGAGAGGUUGAACGGCCACAUUGGGACUGAGACACGGCCCAGACUCCUACGGGAGGCAGCAGUGGGGAAUAUUGCACAAUGGGGGAAACCCUGAUGCAGCGACGCCGCGUGGAGGAAGAAGGUCUUCGGAUUGUAAACUCCUGUUGUUGAGGAAGAUAAUGACGGUACUCAACAAGGAAGUGACGGCUAACUACGUGCCAGCAGCCGCGGUAAAACGUAGGUCACAAGCGUUGUCCGGAAUUACUGGGUGUAAAGGGAGCGCAGGCGGGAAGACAAGUUGGAAGUGAAAUCUAUGGGCUCAACCCAUAAACUGCUUUCAAAACUGUUUUUCUUGAGUAGUGCAGAGGUAGGCGGAAUUCCCGGUGUAGCGGUGGAAUGCGUAGAUAUCGGGAGGAACACCAGUGGCGAAGGCGGCCUACUGG